Molecule: long non-coding RNA, 402 nt
Organism: Capsicum annuum
Lineage: Eukaryota; Viridiplantae; Streptophyta; Magnoliopsida; Solanales; Solanaceae
Exons: 2
Source: RefSeq, a predicted model, not a curated record
GUAAUCAUCCACAUCAAUAUUUUUAGAGUUCAUUUCACACACAAAAAAAAAGAGAAUGGCCUUGAAGACAAAUGUUUUGGUCAUAACACUUUAUUUGUUUGUGCUUCUGAUGAUUAUGUCUUCAGAGGUUGCUGCUAGGGACAUAUCUACUGGCCCUUCACUCAAAUCAAAUGAAGCUCAAGGUACAACUAUGCUGGUGACCCAAUCAUGGUUCGGAGAUAACAUUGGUCCAGUUUAUGAAGCUGCUUGCAAAUUGUGCAAAGUGUUGUGAUUAGUUCUAAUUAUUAGUACUAUAAAAUAAUAAACUAAUAAUCUCUUUUUCCUCUAAUAUAAUGUACGUGUAAGCUAUACAUGUGUUUAAAUAAAUGAAAAAUAUGAAUAUAUUAUAUGAUUUCUCCAUAA